Molecule: non-coding RNA, 28 nt
Filed under: Homo sapiens (human)
Lineage: Eukaryota; Metazoa; Chordata; Mammalia; Primates; Hominidae
Source: RNAcentral
UGCUGGGACAUGGAUGGAGCUGGAGGCC